Molecule: non-coding RNA, 2541 nt
Organism: Oncorhynchus mykiss (rainbow trout)
Lineage: Eukaryota; Metazoa; Chordata; Actinopteri; Salmoniformes; Salmonidae
Source: RefSeq, a predicted model, not a curated record
UGAUUAAAUGUGUGUUUUUCAUAGUUUUGAUGUCUUCUACAAUGUAGAAAAUAGUAAAAAAUUAAGAAAAACCCUUGAAUGAGUAGGUGUGUCCAAACUUUUGACCAGUAGUGUACAGGCUACUACAGACUAUUGCAGGUUACUACAGGCUACUACAGACUACUACAGGCUACUACAGACUACUACAGGCUACUACAGACUACUACAGGCUACUACAGACUACUACAGGCUACUACAGACUAUUGCAGGUUACUACAGACUACUAUAGGCUAUUACAGGCGAUUACAGACUACUACAGGCUACUACAGACUACUACAGGCUACUACAGACUAUUGCAGGUUACUACAGACUACUAUAGGCUAUUACAGGCGAUUACAGACUACUACAGGCUACUACAGGAUAUGACAGGCUACUACAGGCUACUACAGACUAUAAAAAUACUAUUACAGGCUACUACAGACUAUUACAGACUACUACAGGCUACUACAGACUACUACAGGCUACUACAAAAACAUGCUACUACAAAAACAUGCUACUACAGGCUACAGUAGCCUGCAGUAGCUAGUGCUGACAGAUAACAGCUACAGGCUACAGUAUAUAUCAAUCGAAAGCACACUGAGUGACCUGAAGUGUUCUGCUCUGAUCCUGAUGGGACCCAGGUCAACCCAUGUCAUCACACCAGGGCAGAGACAAAGUGACUGCUACAACUGCAGUACAAGACAACGCACGUCUUCAGAAGCUUAGGCAUCAUUCUUCCUCUUCCUAAAUGAACAAUGUAACUCCACUUUCAUAUGCUCUGCGCCACAUGGGACAGGUCAUCAGACAGACCAAGGCAGAGACUGACUGCUAGGACUACAGGACAAGACAGACCAAGGCAGAGACUGACUGCUAGGACUACAGGACAAGACAUACCAAGGCAGAGACUGACUGCUAGGACUACAGGACAAGACAUACCAAGGCAGAGACUGACUGCUAGGACUACAGGACAAGACAGACCAAGGCAGAGACUGACUGCUAGGACUACAGGACAUCAGACAGACCAAGGCAGAGACUGACUGCUAGGACUACAGGACAUCAGACAGACCAAGGCAGAGACUGACUGCUAGGACUACAGGACAAGACAAAAUGUACAACAGGAAACAAAUACCGUCUUAAAAAACAGAUCUUAUUGUUCUGUUAUGACUGCAGUCAGACAAAACUGUUCUUAAUUUUCUUCUCUGACUGUCCUUAUUCCUCCUCACUGACUGUCCUUAUCCCUCCUCUCUGACUGUCCUUAUCCUUCCUCUCUGACUGUCCUUAUUCCUCCUCCCUGACUGUCCUUAUUCCUCCUCUCUGGCUGUCCUUAUUCCCUCCUCCCUAACUGUCCUUAUUCCUCCUCUCUGACUGUCCUUAUUCCUCAUCUCUGACUGUCCUUAUUCCCUCCUCCCUAACUGUCCUUAUUCCUCCUCUCUGACUGUCCUUAUUCCCUCCUCCCUAACUGUCCUUAUUCCUCCUCUCUGACUGUCCUUAUUCCCUCCACCCUAACUGUCCUUAUUCCUCCUCCCUGACUGUCCUUAUUCCCUACUCCCUAACUGUCCUUAUUCCUCCUCUCUGACUGUCCUUAUUCCCUCCUCCCUAACUGUCCUUAUUCCUCCUCUCUGACUGUCCUUAUUCCCUCCUCCCUAACUGUCCUUAUUCCUCCUCUCUGACUGUCCUUAUUCCCUCCUCCCUAACUGUCCUUAUUCCUCCUCUCUGACUGUCCUUAUUCCCUCCUCCCUAAAUGUCCUUAUUCCUCCUCUCUGACUGUCCUUAUUCCCUCCACCCUAACUGUCCUUAUUCCUCCUCUCUGACUGUCCUUAUUCCCUCCUCCCUAACUGUCCUUAAUCCUCCUCUCUGACUGUCCUUAUUCCCUCCUCCCUAACUGUCCUUAUUCCUCCUCUCUGACUGUCCUUAUUCCCUCCUCCCUAACUGUCCUUAUUCCUCCUCUCUGACUGUCCUUAUUCCCUCCUCUCUGACUGUCCUUAUUCCCUCCUCCCUAACUGUCCUUAUUCCUCCUCUCUGACUGUCCUUAUUCCUCCUUCCUGACUGUUCUUCCUAUAUGCACAAUGUAUGGACCAAUCUCUCUUUGUUUCUCUGUCAUGUACCUAACUAUCUCUUUUUAAAGAAUGCGUUCUUUCUUUCUUUCCCUCCAUCUCUUUGGUUGUUGUUGUGGUUUAGUGGUACAAUAGUCUAGACCUGUGAUUCUUCCAUUGGUACUGUGGAGUGUUUCUGUAUUUUGUUUUCAUUUUUAUAUUAUUUUUUAAAUGCAAUAAUCUCCAUGAUGUAAAAAACAAUCCAACCUAGGCUACUUCUUCCUAAAUACAGCCUGCUCAGAUCCAAAAACGCCUAAUCAUUGUUAUGGGUUUAACAUAUUAUUUAGAUACAGUAUAUACAAUGAGUUGUAUGAUAAUGUACAUUUUUAUCAUAUUAGCAUAUUGGUUUUUUGUAUACACAUUUCAAGUAAAUCCUCGUUGUUAUUUCUCACUGUGUGUAAAUAAAUGUUGUUUAUCUAAAUAUACAGUA